GGGGAUGUAGCUCAGUGGUAGAGCACUUGCCUAACAUACGCAAGACCCUGAAUUCAAUCCCCA
This is a non-coding RNA of Ictidomys tridecemlineatus (thirteen-lined ground squirrel), 63 nucleotides long. The record is from Rfam. Lineage: Eukaryota; Metazoa; Chordata; Mammalia; Rodentia; Sciuridae.